AACGAUGAUGCCCAGCUUGCUGGGUGGAUUAGUGGCGAACGGGUGAGUAACACGUGAGUAACCUGCCCCUGACUCUGGGAUAAGCGUUGGAAACGACGUCUAAUACUGGAUAUGAUUACCGGCCGCAUGGUCUGGUGGUGGAAAGAUUUUUUGGUUGGGGAUGGACUCGCGGCCUAUCAGCUUGUUGGUGAGGUAAUGGCUCACCAAGGCGACGACGGGUAGCCGGCCUGAGAGGGUGACCGGCCACACUGGGACUGAGACACGGCCCAGACUCCUACGGGAGGCAGCAGUGGGGAAUAUUGCACAAUGGGCGAAAGCCUGAUGCAGCAACGCCGCGUGAGGGAUGACGGCCUUCGGGUUGUAAACCUCUUUUAGUAGGGAAGAAGCGCAAGUGACGGUACCUGCAGAAAAAGCACCGGCUAACUACGUGCCAGCAGCCGCGGUAAUACGUAGGGUGCAAGCGUUGUCCGGAAUUAUUGGGCGUAAAGAGCUCGUAGGCGGUUUGUCGCGUCUGCUGUGAAAUCCCGAGGCUCAACCUCGGGCUUGCAGUGGGUACGGGCAGACUAGAGUGCGGUAGGGGAGAUUGGAAUUCCUGGUGUAGCGGUGGAAUGCGCAGAUAUCAGGAGGAACACCGAUGGCGAAGGCAGAUCUCUGGGCCGUAACUGACGCUGAGGAGCGAAAGCGUGGGGAGCGAACAGGAUUAGAUACCCUGGUAGUCCACGCCGUAAACGUUGGGCGCUAGAUGUAGGGACCUUUCCACGGUUUCUGUGUCGUAGCUAACGCAUU
RNAcentral lists this ribosomal RNA (786 nucleotides) under bacterium. Its description in RNAcentral is "bacterial SSU rRNA". It matches the Rfam family "Bacterial small subunit ribosomal RNA", at positions 65 to 861 of the family's 1533-position model. The record is from RNAcentral.